UACGGAGGAUGCAAGCGUUAUCCGGAUUUAUUGGGUUUAAAGGGUGCGCAGGUUGUUUGAUAAGUCAGUGGUGAAAGUCUGUCGCUUAACGGUAGGAUUGCCAUUGAUACUGUUGGACUUGAAUAUGGAUGAGGUAGGCGGAAUGUGUAGUGUAGCGGUGAAAUGCAUAGAUAUUACACAGAACACCGAUUGCGAAGGCAGCUUACUAAUCCAUCAUUGACGCUGAGGCACGAAAGACGUGGGGAGUCAAA
Molecule: ribosomal RNA, 251 nt
Filed under: uncultured prokaryote
Description: partial 16S ribosomal RNA
Rfam family: Bacterial small subunit ribosomal RNA
Source: RNAcentral